RNAcentral lists this ribosomal RNA (369 nucleotides) under Elphidium sp. S1. Its description in RNAcentral is "SSU rRNA". It matches the Rfam family "Eukaryotic small subunit ribosomal RNA", at positions 1185 to 1472 of the family's 1831-position model. The record is from RNAcentral. Lineage: Eukaryota; Foraminifera; Rotaliida; Elphidiidae.
GUGGCUUAAUUUGACUCAACGCGGGAAAUCUUACCGGGUCCGGACACACUGAGGAUUGACAGACAAAUAUAGAAAUUUUAUAUUUCUCAUAUAUAAAGAUGCUAGUUCUUUCAUGAUUAUGUGAUAGGUGGUGCAUGGCCGUUCUUAGUUCGUGGAGUGAUCUGUCUGCUUAAUUGCGUUUCAAUUUUUAUUAUGUAUACGUAUGACCCACGUUUACGCGUGCGAGUCUAGUAUGCUAUCAUUUGAAAGCAACGAACGUGACCGUAUCCUUUUAUUAUAUACGCACGCGUAUAUUUAUUCAUUAAAGGGACCGCUGUUUCUUUUUUUAAACCAGAGGAAGGUUACGGCAAUAACAGGUCUGUGAUGCCC